This 662-nucleotide ribosomal RNA is filed under the name Castanopsis fargesii. RNAcentral's name for it is "eukaryotic LSU rRNA". The record is from RNAcentral. Lineage: Eukaryota; Viridiplantae; Streptophyta; Magnoliopsida; Fagales; Fagaceae.
AUUUAGAGGAAGGAGAAGUCGUAACAAGGUUUCUGUAGGUGAACCUACGGAAGGAUCAUUGUCAAAACCUGCACAGCAGAACGGCCAGCGAACUGAUAACAACUGACGGGGGGCGAGGACCUCAUGUCUCCUGCUCGUAAACUGAACCCCGGCAUGGAACGCACUAAAGAAAUCGAACCAUGAGAGCCACGUCAGAGGCCCCAAACAUGAUGCGCCCUUGGCGUCGACGUAUUGCYAAUUAUCCAAAAUGACUUUCGGCAACAAAUAUCUAGGCUCUCAUAUCAAUGAAGAACGUAGCAAAAUGCAAUAUUUAGUGUGAAUUGUAGAAUCCCACGAAUUAUGGAGUUUUUGAAUGCAAGUUGCACUCGAAGCCUUUCAGCUGAGGGCGCUUCUGCCUGGGUGUCAUGCAUUGUUGCCUCGCUAAACACCAAUUCGGGUGGGGCGGAAGCUAGCCUCCCAUGCACGCCUACGCGCAUAGUUAGCCCAAAAAUGAGUCCUCGAYGAUGAGCACCAUGACAAUCGGUGGUUUUUUGACCUUCGUUCCCUAUUGUACGUGCCUUGUCGCCCGAACACCUCAUGCGCCCCUCUUGAAACCCUCACAUGUUGCCUCAGUGAUGCUCCUAACGUGGCACUAGGUUAGGUAGGACUACCCGCUGAGUUUA